RNA transcript from Hippopotamus amphibius kiboko, 2947 nucleotides. It is a transcript of the gene named mal, T cell differentiation protein like, with no coding region annotated. Lineage: Eukaryota; Metazoa; Chordata; Mammalia; Artiodactyla; Hippopotamidae. The record is from RefSeq and is a predicted model, not a curated record. The transcript has 5 exons.
GAUGGGUGUGUCAGGCAGGAGGUGAUAUUUGAAGGGCUGCGGGCACGGGCCGCGGAGCCAGGGCGCCAGGCAGUGGGGGAGAGCAUGGCUUCCCGGGACCCGCCCCCCACCAGCUAUGCCCCGCCCGAAGUGCCCUCGGGGGUCUCGCUCUUCCUCACCAUCCCGUAUGCCUUCUUCUUGCCUGAGCUGAUAUUUGGGUGCUGGGUCUGGAUCCUGGUAGCAGCCACCCAGGUAGCAAACCCACUGCUGCAAGGAUGGGUGAUGUAUGUCUCACUCACUUCAUUCCUCAUCUCCCUGAUGUUCCUGUUGUCUUACGUGUUUGGAUUUUACAAAAGACUCGAGUCCUGGAAAAUCCUGGACAGCCUGUACCACGGGACCACUGGCAUCCUGUACAUGAGCGCCGCCGUCUUGCAAGUGCACGCCACGAUCGUGUCUGAGAUCGAGGACCUGAAAAAUUACUACAUAAACACGGCAGCCUCGGACAGAUGACUCUGAGCCCUCAGGCUGAAGGAGCCUUGCAGGAUGGGAGGAGGUGUGUGUGUGUAAUCAGGUGUGCCCAAGCUCACAGGGCACCAAGCCCAAGUUCAGGUGUCAUCUCUCCUCUCUGUUGUUUUUUGUUUGUUUCUUUCUUCUUUUUCUUUUUUUUGCUCUGUCUUACAUCCAUUACACUGCCCUCAGAAUAUGUUUUUCCAAAAUACACAUCGCUUAUGGAAAGUCCUUGGCGAUUCCCAUUACUGAUGGAAUGGAGCCUGAAUGCCUCAGCACGACCAAAGUUCCCAUGUCCUUUUAGUUCAGGGACAGACAUCCACAGGGUAACAUAUUGGCUCAUGGCAUCUGAGUGAAGGUAGUCCAGGCGAGUGAGCAGGACCCCCGGAACUUAGGUUUAAUGGAACCAGAGACUGCAGGCCAGCAGGGCCCCGCCUUUCCAGUCCCCAGGCGGUGGCCUCCUUCCUCUCUUGGUGGGAUGGCGCCCUCGCGUGGCGGGUGGCUCACAGCCGACGGAUUCCUCCUCUGGAGCCGCCUAACCUUUCUUAAUCCUUCCCAGGAGGCUCUAAUUCCCAGGCUGGGCCCCAGUCCACCCUCACCGGUCGCUAUGACCAGCGAGGUCCCGUGUUAGUCGGGGGCUCCCUCAGGGGUCAGGUAGCAGGAGGAAGAGGUGCGGUGUGGGGUGCUGAGCCCACUGUAAGAAAGAUGUCAGGCAAGCGUGGUGACCCGCUUGGGUGGCCUCAGGGCUCUUCAGCUGCCUUUCUGGCCUGCCUGCCUCCUCCCGCUCCUGGCCCAGCACCACUCUGCCCCCCACUGCUCUGCGGGUGCUCUCGCCCUUGCUCAGCGGCUCCAGCCACACCAGCUUCCUUGCUGCCCCGGACCUGCGGUCCCCGUGGCCUUGGCUCCAGGACGAGCACGGCAGCUCCCUCGCCACCUUCUGCUCUUUUCCUCACGUGUCCGCUUGUGGGUGAGGCCGUGCCCCUCCCUUCUUUGUUUCUUGCUGCGCACUUAGCCCCACCUUACCUACUACUCUAUCGGUUUUUCUUACUUAUUUUCUGCUUCUGCCACUAAAAUGUAGGCUCCAUGAGGAUAGGGAUUUUUGAAUUUUUUCCCAUUAUUGUAGCCACAGUUGUUUUUGAAGCAUAGUAGGUGCUUACAAGAUAUUUGUUGAAUGAAUGAAUGAAUGAAUGAAUGAAACAGAGUGUGAUUGAGCAGGGGGGUGAAGUGAGGCUGGAGUCAUCCGCUGGGCCAAGAGAUCAUCAGGCAAUACGGGCAGUUCUUUGCCUUCAUCACCACCCUGCUCUACAUCCUCCAUGCCUUCAGCAUCUAUUACCACUGAAGAAGCAGGGAGCUGGACCAGCAUGGGAAAUGCUCUUUUAAAACCUGGAGUAUCAGCUCCCAAAAGUGGUUUUCAACAUUCGCCAUCUGGAUGAUAAACAGAAGCUCAACAAUGACAUCAUGGGACCAACAGACCAUCUUUUGAGACUGAGUGAUGAAAUCACACCCUGGCAGAUCCAUUUGGACAUUUUAAGUCAUUGCAAUGAAUAUGAAAGAGCUGGGGGGAGGGAUGUUUUAUUUUGUUUUGUUUUGUUUUGUUUUGUUUUGUUUUGUUUUGUUUUGUUUUGCCUAGGAAAGUGUCUCUUGGAAUUAUCUGACAAUGAACAUCUCUCUUCUAGAAAACUAACAUCUGAAGCCCUCACUGCUGAAAAUUCCAGAUUUACCAUCCUCACGCCUGUUUGGGGAUUCUGCCUCAGCAACGAGCUUCCCCACAGCAGGUUUUUGGGAACCUUCAUCAUUUUCUUAAAAUCAAAUGGUGCUGAAGACCCACAGACCUUGUUCCUGUCCCGUGGUCCUGCCUCUGCUUCGCAGCAGUGGACCAAACCCACCGCCCCCUUCCAUGCUGCCUGACCCCCCCAUUCACGUCCCCUCCCCUUCCCUCCCCAGCUUUGGGAGCCAAGGGAAACCUGCAUAAAAUCAGCUUUGAGGGUAGAUUUGUGGGGAAAAUAAGCGAUUGACUCUGCAAAAUUGUUAUACAGUAAGACCUAGGGGAAGGAAGGGUGUAACCCGCUUCUCUAUAAGUCAGGCUGCUCAGAGAACUGCAGGGCUGCAGGACGCCUGGGUCAGGAGGAAGAACUGGGAGUCUCUUUGUCUCUCAGAAAAGACCACCAAGGAAGCAUGCAGGAUGUUACAUGCCAGGAUUCUCUUCUGGGCUCCUGUCACAUGUGGGACAUGGAAGAGGCCGGAAAGGACCCCAUCCCAGGGUCCCUGCUGUUCGGUGUGCAUCCCCCAGUGGUCCAGCUGGGUAGGGCCUGGGACCACCCAGCCAGCCUCCUGCAGUGACAGGCUCCCAGGGGCCAGGACAUGCAAAGGCAUUUGCACUUCGCGGCCAUUCUCAAAGAAAAGGCACAGAGAAAUGUAAAACCAAGAUGCUGGAUUUCCAAGUAAAUGUUUUUCAAAAGAA